This 536-nucleotide ribosomal RNA is filed under the name Kocuria rosea subsp. polaris. RNAcentral's name for it is "bacterial SSU rRNA". It matches the Rfam family "Bacterial small subunit ribosomal RNA", at positions 282 to 830 of the family's 1533-position model. The record is from RNAcentral. Lineage: Bacteria; Bacillati; Actinomycetota; Actinomycetes; Micrococcales; Micrococcaceae.
GGUAGCCGGCCUGAGAGGGUGACCGGCCACACUGGGACUGAGACACGGCCCAGACUCCUACGGGAGGCAGCAGUGGGGAAUAUUGCACAAUGGGCGAAAGCCUGAUGCAGCGACGCCGCGUGAGGGAUGACGGCCUUCGGGUUGUAAACCUCUUUCAGCACGGAAGAAGCGAAAGUGACGGUACGUGCAGAAGAAGCGCCGGCUAACUACGUGCCAGCAGCCGCGGUAAUACGUAGGGCGCAAGCGUUGUCCGGAAUUAUUGGGCGUAAAGAGCUCGUAGGCGGUUUGUCGCGUCUGCUGUGAAAGCCCGGGGCUUAACCCCGGGUGUGCAGUGGGUACGGGCAGACUUGAGUGCAGUAGGGGAGACUGGAAUUCCUGGUGUAGCGGUGAAAUGCGCAGAUAUCAGGAGGAACACCGAUGGCGAAGGCAGGUCUCUGGGCUGUUACUGACGCUGAGGAGCGAAAGCAUGGGGAGCGAACAGGAUUAGAUACCCUGGUAGUCCAUGCCGUAAACGUUGGGCACUAGGUGUGGGGGAA